UACGUAGGAUGCAAGCGUUGUCCGGAAUUAUUGGGCGUAAAGAGCGCGCAGGCGGUAUGACAAGUCAGAUGUGAAAGAGGCCGGCUUAACCGGCAAGGGUCAUUUGAAACUGUCAGACUAGAGUGCAGCAGAGGAUAGUGGAAUUCCCGGUGUAGUGGUGAAAUUCGUAGAUAUCGGGAGGAACACCGGUGGCGAAGGCGGCGAUCUGGGUCGAUACUGACGCUGAGGUGCGAAAGCGUGGGGAGCAAACAGG
RNAcentral lists this ribosomal RNA (253 nucleotides) under uncultured bacterium. RNAcentral's name for it is "partial 16S ribosomal RNA". It matches the Rfam family "Bacterial small subunit ribosomal RNA", at positions 524 to 776 of the family's 1533-position model. The record is from RNAcentral.